CCUCCUUUCUAAGGAUGAAUAAAAGUAAAAUUUUAUUCUAAAUAAUAUACAGGUUAAUGUUGACCGUCCUCAUUUCUCUUCUUGAAGUAGUGUUUCUCUUUUCUGCAUAGGGGCCGGUAGCUCAGUUGGUUAGAGCACACCCUUGAUAAGGGUGGGGUCGAAAGUUCGAGUCUUUCUCGGCCCACCAAUAUAAUGGGGGAUUAGCUCAGCUGGGAGAGCGCCUGAUUUGCAUUCAGGAGGUCAGCGGUUCGAUCCCGCUAUCCUCCACCAAGAAACACUUAGUUAUUUUUUUUGUAAAUAAAUUUUAAUAUUAUCAAUAUCUAUAUCCGAUUGUUCGAAUAGAUGAACAAUCAUGAAUGUUCGAAUAGAUGAACAUUCCAAAAAAAUUUGAUUCAACACAGAAUUUUUUUCUGUGCAUAAAUCAAGCGUUUAAGGGCGUGUGGCGGAUGCCUUGGCACUGAAAGCCGAUGAAGGACGUGGUAUACUGCGAUAAGUUACGGGGAGCUGUAUGCAAGUUUUGAUCCGUAA
This 528-nucleotide unclassified non-coding RNA is filed under the name uncultured Pelagibacterales bacterium. RNAcentral's name for it is "partial 16S-23S ribosomal RNA intergenic spacer". The stretch from base 420 to 528 matches the Rfam family "Bacterial large subunit ribosomal RNA", at positions 1 to 109 of the family's 2925-position model. The record is from RNAcentral. Lineage: Bacteria; Pseudomonadati; Pseudomonadota; Alphaproteobacteria; Candidatus Pelagibacterales.